AUCAUUUUGUAGUCCAUAGGGUGGUGAUUGGGUGUUUAUGCUGUUGUGUAAGAUAUGCCUCCCGCAAACCUUUUUAUGACACUGUCACAUUACCCAUCUGACA
Molecule: small nucleolar RNA, 103 nt
Organism: Rhinolophus ferrumequinum (greater horseshoe bat)
Lineage: Eukaryota; Metazoa; Chordata; Mammalia; Chiroptera; Rhinolophidae
Source: Ensembl